RNAcentral lists this ribosomal RNA (462 nucleotides) under uncultured bacterium. RNAcentral describes it as "bacterial SSU rRNA". It matches the Rfam family "Bacterial small subunit ribosomal RNA", at positions 30 to 484 of the family's 1533-position model. The record is from RNAcentral.
AUUGAACGCUGGCGGCAUGCUUUACACAUGCAAGUCGAACGGCAGCGCGGGGGCAACCCUGGCGGCGAGUGGCGAACGGGUGAGUAAUGCAUCGGAACGUAUCCUGUAAUGGGGGAUAACGUAGCGAAAGUUACGCUAAUACCGCAUACGCUCGAGAGAGGAAAGUGGGGGAUCGCAAGACCUCACGUUAUAGGAGCGGCCGAUGUCCGAUUAGCUAGUUGGUGGGGUAAAGGCCCUUACCCAAGGCGACGAUCGGUAGCUGGUCUGAGAGGAUGAUCAGCCACACUGGGACUGAGACACGGCCCAGACUCCUACGGAGGCAGCAGUGGGGAAUUUUGGACAAUGGGCGAAAGCCUGAUCCAGCCAUGCCGCGUGCGGGAAGAAGGCCUCCGGGUUGUAAACCGCUUUAGUCCGGAAAAGGGGUGCGAGGAUAAUACCCUCGUGCUUUGAUGGUACUGGAAG